This 497-nucleotide ribosomal RNA is filed under the name uncultured bacterium. Its description in RNAcentral is "partial 16S ribosomal RNA". It matches the Rfam family "Bacterial small subunit ribosomal RNA", at positions 28 to 507 of the family's 1533-position model. The record is from RNAcentral.
GAUGAACGCUGGCGGCGUGCCUAAUACAUGCAAGUCGAGCGAACAGAUAAGGAGCUUGCUCCUUUGACGUUAGCGGCGGACGGGUGAGUAACACGUGGGUAACCUACCUAUAAGACUGGGAUAACUUCGGGAAACCGGAGCUAAUACCGGAUAACAUUUGGAACCGCAUGGUUCUAAAGUGAAAGAGGGGUUUGCUAUCACUUAUAGAUGGACCCGCGCCGUAUUAGCUAGUUGGUAAGGUAACGGCUUACCAAGGCGACGAUACGUAGCCGACCUGAGAGGGUGAUCGGCCACACUGGAACUGAGACACGGUCCAGACUCCUACGGGAGGCAGCAGUAGGGAAUCUUCCGCAAUGGGCGAAAGCCUGACGGAGCAACGCCGCGUGAGUGAUGAGGGGUUUCGGCUCGUAAAACUCUGUUAUUAGGGAAGAACAAAUGUGUAAGUAACUGUGCACGUCUUGACGGUACCUAAUCAGAAAGCCACGGCUAACUACGUG